GAGGUGCUGUAAUGGAGAAAUGAAGACAGAAGGACAUCUUCGCUAAUGCCUGACCGCAGCCUCUGGACGUGGCGGUUGAGCUCAGAGAUCUCCUGUUUGGUGUUGCGGAGGUCGUCCCCGUGCCUGCCUGCGGUAGCCUGCAGCUCCUCGUACUGUCGUGGAGAGAGGAACAACCGGUCAAGACCGCAGCCUCUGGACGUGGCGGUUGAGCUCGGAGAUCUCCUGCUUGGUGUUGCGGAGGUCGUCCCCGU
Molecule: long non-coding RNA, 251 nt
Organism: Cygnus atratus (black swan)
Lineage: Eukaryota; Metazoa; Chordata; Aves; Anseriformes; Anatidae
Exons: 3
Source: RefSeq, a predicted model, not a curated record